AUGGCCACUUGGCAGAACAGAACCGAGCGCGGACGAUCGGAUCGUGGCCGGCGGGAACCACGAUUCGGUCCCUCAGGACUCCGCAGAGUUACGAAGUCUUCAAACCGAAAGCUAGCUGGUGUCUGGGGAAAGGGAAAAAGAAAAAACGCUGGGCUCGUCCGGGAUUUGAACCCGGGACCUCUCGCACCCAAAGCGAGAAUCAUACCCCUAGACCAACGAGCCGGUGUUACAGUGGCUCCUGGUGCCUGUCCUUGGAGGCCUGAGACCGCGGCUCCGCCCUCGGAUCCCGGCCUGAGAAUCCGCAGCCAGAUCCUGUGGAUGGUUUUGGUUUCGAUUCGAGAAGGAGAGGAGGAGGCGCAGCGCGGCCGGAAUCUCCGGCAUCCCGGCUCCAGCUUGGCUUGAUUUUGGUCCUCCUGACAACCAUAUGCGACCGGUGCAUUCGCUCAGAUCCCGCCCGCCCCCGAGCAUCCCGGGACCCCAGGGAGACUGCGCAUGCGCGAAGGAAACUGCUCAAAGACCCAAGGUAGCAGUUAGCUCCACCGUCUUGACUGGGAUACUAUCCUCGCUUAGGGUACACAAGGUCUGGGCAUCAAAUCCCGGACGAGCUCUUUCCCCCUUCUUUUAGGAGAAUCUACGUCCCGUGAGAACUAGCAUCAAUAAGGAGUUCACUAGGCAAAAUGUGGGCGCGAAGGGGAGAGAGGGCACAGCCCGGAGCUUGGGGAAAGCGUCGGUCACGACCUUCAUUCUCCUCUUCGCGUUGCUUCUUAGACCAAGAGUGUUUCCUAGUCCCAAAUCUACGCGGUUUUUAGCAGAGCCCAGUGGUCUUAGGUCUUUGUCCUAAGGACCCUCCGUGAUGGCUCUGUAUAUGCCCACCUAGCUCAGUGUGUAGAGUGUGGAACUGUAAUAUCAGAGAGCCCGGCGUUUACUCUCCUAUCAGAAGAUGGGUAUUCUUUCCCCUCUCGAAGAUAUUUGUCAUUGUGGUUCCCAGAAGUGGGGUCGGGGGAGGCGCGAGCGGAAUUAGAUGAAGGCAGUCAAAAGGUACAAACUUCCAGCUGUAAGGAAGUACUGAGAUACAGUGUACAACAUAAUAAAGAUAAUUAACACUGCUGUGUUAGAAGAGCUCAUCUUUAGAGUUAAGAGAGUAAACCCCGAGUUUUCAUCACAAGGAUGAUGGAUGGUCACUAAACCAUGAUUGUAAUAAUGAUUGUGAUGUAUGUGAAUUGAAUCAUUAUGUUGUACACCUUAAACUUAUACAGUGCUGUAUGUCAAUUACAUCUCAGUAAAAGUGGGGGAAAUAAUUAAAAUGUUUAUCUUAGUGCAAUUUCUCUUCUUUUUAUUUAUGAGUCCUUAGCAAACCACUGAAACAUCACGAAACUGAUAAAGGAGACAGUGACACUCCCCAUGACCUCAAGAUUACUUGCGCCCUCUAUUGGGGUACAGGCUCAGCUGCCAUUCCCCCACCGUCCUCCCUGGGGGGAGAAGGUCCCAUCGCCUUGGUCAUUCCACUUAGCCAGAAAUUCCUUAGCCAGAACUUGGUUCCUCAGGGACAGUCAUUUUUUCUGGGUAAAAUGAUGGCUCAAUCCUGGGCAUAUUCUUUACAUUAAAAUUUUAAAUAUACAUUCACACUAAUCGACUCUUGAGAGUCCCUUGGACUGCAAGGAGAUCCAACCAGUCCAUUCUAAAGGAGCUCAGCCUUGGGUGUUCUUUGGAAGGAAUGAUCCUAAAGCUGAAAUUCCAGUACUUUGGCCACCUCAUGCAAAGAGUUGACUCAUUGGAAAAAACUCUGAUGCUGGGAGGGAUUGAGGGAAGGAGAAGAAGGGAACGACAGAGGAUGAGAUGGCUGGAUGGCAUUACUGACUCGAUGGACGUGAGUCUGAGUGAACUCCGGGAGUUGGUGAUGGACAGGGAGGCCUGGCGUGCUGCAAUUCAUGGGGUCGCAAAGAGUCGGACACGACUGAGCGAUUGAACUGAACUGAACUGAACCAUUUAAGGGUAUAUUCACUGCAAGAAAUCGAAAUUACCUAUUAUAAUUAAAA
Molecule: long non-coding RNA, 2036 nt
Organism: Bos grunniens (domestic yak)
Lineage: Eukaryota; Metazoa; Chordata; Mammalia; Artiodactyla; Bovidae
Source: Ensembl